Molecule: RNA transcript, 4451 nt
Organism: Miniopterus natalensis
Lineage: Eukaryota; Metazoa; Chordata; Mammalia; Chiroptera; Miniopteridae
Gene: RBAK
Gene name: RB associated KRAB zinc finger
Source: RefSeq, a predicted model, not a curated record
UCGCCUCCUCCCUGCGCACCCUCCACCCCUUUCUCCGCCUCGCCCUCCCCAGGUUCUACACGUGCCUCUAAACGUCCAUCAGGACCUUGGUUCUGAGACCUAAGUGUGUGCCGACUCCCCUUGGUGCUGCAAGGGGCGACCUGCUGCCUCGGUGCCAGAGGAAGAGACUGGGCCUGAGAAGGGGGGUGACUUGUCCGAGGUGUCCGGGCCUGUAGGUGGGAUUGCUGACCGGGCUCAGGCUCCCAGGCCAAGUGUCGUGCCCACUGUAUUACCGUUUUCUUAAUAAAAGAUUAAGUGCAGCGCUAACCAAGUUUAGUCGGAUAAGCAAAACCAUGCCCCAGUGCACGUUUAUCUCAUUUUUGAGAGCUCAUAUCCUGCGUUCCUCUGUGUUCUCUGAUUUUUCACACUUGAAAGAAACUGUAAGAAAAUAGGUAAACAGUAUAAUGGGAUUUCCCCCCACCUUUUAUUUAAUGGUGGCCAACUAUUGAAAAAGGAGUCUGUUUAUAUUCACCAAUGAGAGUAACGCACCUCAGUACCUCUGAUCCUUUCCGGAUUACAAUGGUUCAGGUGUGUUUCUCCUCUGCCACCCUUUAGUCCCUUUUGAGUGUCCACAGGGUGUCAUUUUAUUGAGUUCUCUUUGGUGAUUCUUAGCAGGAGGUUCUUGGUUGGACAGGCCAGGUUCCUCAUGACUUCAAUUACUUGCUUCUUCUGCCCUAGGUUCACUGUUAAAGAUUUCUGCACUUUUCCAAGAGCAGCAGAAAAUGCAUGAGUCCCAGGGACCAGUGUCAUUCAGGGACGUAGCCGUGGACUUCACGCAGGAGGAGUGGCAGCAGCUGGACCCUGCUGAGAAGACAACCUACAGGGAUGUGAUGCUGGAGAACUACAGCCACCUCGUCUCCGUGGGGUACGACAGCACCAAACCCAGUGUGAUCGUCAAGUUGGAGCAGGGAGAAGAGCCGUGGGGCGCAGAAGGGGACUUUCCAUGCCAGAGUUGCCCAGAAGAAAUCAGGAAAGUUGAUGACGUGUUAGACAGAAUCCAAGAAAAUGAAGAUGAAUGUUCAAGGCAAGCUGUUUAUAUCAAUAGCAAAAUCCUAAUUGAAGAGAGAGAGAAUGCAGAAGCAAACCUUGUUCCUUCAAGCAUAUCUCAUAAUUGUGUCUCAUGUGGAAAAAAUUUGGAAUCUAGUUCAGAAUUAAUUAUUAGUGAUGGAAGCUAUGCAAGAAAGAAACCUGAUGAGUGUAGUGAAUGUGGGAAAACAAACCAUGGAGAGAAACCCUGUGAAUUUAAUCAAAAUGGGGAUGACUUUUCUCAAAAUGAAGGAAGUAUUCAGAAAAUUAAUAUUUUAGAGAAACCCUUUGAGUAUAAUGAAUGCAUGGAAGCCUUAGACAAUGAAACCGUUUUCAUUACUCAUAAGAGAGCUUAUAUGGGGGAGAAGCCCUGUGAGUGGAGUGAUUCUGGACCAGACUUUCUCCAAAUGUCAAAUUUUCAUAUGUACCAGAGAUCACAGAUGGAACUGAAGCCCUUUGAAUGCAGCGAAUGUGGGAAAUCCUUUUGUAAAAAGUCAAAAUUCAUUAUACAUCAGAGGGCUCACACAGGAGAGAAACCUUAUGCAUGUAAUGUAUGUGGCAAAUCCUUCAGCCAGAAGGGAACCCUCACUGUACAUCGGAGAUCACACUUAGAGGAGAAGCCCUAUAAAUGUAAUGAGUGUGGGAAAACCUUCUGUCAGAAGUUACAUCUCACUCAACAUUUAAGAACUCAUUCAGGAGAGAAACCUUAUGAAUGUAGUGAAUGUGGCAAAACCUUCUGCCAGAAGACACAUCUCACCCUCCACCAGAGAAAUCAUUCAGGAGAGAGACCCUAUCCAUGUAACGAGUGUGGGAAAUCCUUCUCCCGCAAGUCAGCCCUCAGUGAUCAUCAGAGAACACACACGGGAGAGAAACUUUAUAAAUGUAAUGAAUGUGGGAAAUCCUACUACCGAAAAUCUACCCUUAUUACACAUCAGAGAACACACACGGGAGAGAAACCUUAUCAGUGUAGUGAGUGUGGAAAAUUCUUUUCUCGGGUCUCAUACCUCACUAUACAUUAUAGAAGCCAUUUAGAAGAGAAACCCUAUGAGUGUAAUGAGUGUGGCAAAACCUUCAAUUUAAAUUCAGCCUUCAUUAGACAUCGGAAAGUACACACAGAUGAGAAACCCCUUGAAUGUAGUGAAUGCGGAAAGUUCUCUCAGUUCUCAUAUGUUACUGACCAUCACACAACUCAUUUAGGAGAGAAAGCCUAUGAAUGUAAUGAAUGUGGGAGAACCUUCCUUGAAAAUUCAGCCUUUGGUGAGCACCAGUCACUUCCAAAAGGAGAGAAAUCCUAUGAAUGUAAUAUAUGUGGAAAAUUGUUCUCUGAUUUGUCAUACUACACUGUACAUUAUAGAAGUCAUUCAGAAGAGAAGCCCUAUGGAUGUAAUGAAUGUGGGAAAACCUUCUCCCAUAAUUCGUCCCUCUUUAGACAUCAGAGAGUACACACAGGAGAGAAGCCUUAUGAGUGUUACGAAUGUGGAAAGUUCUUUUCUCAGAAGUCAUAUCUCACCAUACAUCAUAGAAUUCAUUCAGGAGAGAAACCCUACGAAUGUAGCAAAUGUGGAAAAGUCUUCUCUCGGAUGUCAAACCUCACUGUACACUAUAGAAGCCAUUCAGGAGAGAAACCCUAUGAAUGUAACGAAUGUGGAAAAGUCUUUUCUCAGAAGUCAUACCUCACUGUGCACUACAGGACUCAUUCAGGAGAGAAGCCCUAUGAAUGUAAUGAAUGUGGGAAAAAAUUCCACCACAGGUCAGCCUUCAACAGCCAUCAGAGGAUCCAUAGGAGAGGGAAUGCGAAUGUACUCGAUGGGGGCAGUCUCCUGUGAAGUCAGACCUCGUUUUAGAAAACCCUCUGAAUAUAAUGAUUUGGAGUCAAAUAUCAUGACCUGAGAGUUCGUGUUUCUGAGUGGGGAAAACAUUUCAGCAUUAGGUUCAUUUUAAUCUGACUUUUCACAGAGGAGAAUCCCUAAGAAGGCAACAGGAAGCAACGCCUUCAGCAAGACUCUACAACUCAUUGGACACUACGUAAUUUAUACAGGAGUCAAGUUUAUAAAUAUUUAAUAUUUAUUUUGGAUUCAAAUUGUAUUUACGUAUCAGGGAGUUGUACCAUGGUAAAGUCUGUCAGAGUGACAGAGUGAUAAACGUGAGAAAAUACUUUGUCUUGGAAGUUGUUAUACCAAAAGCCAUAUUUCUGAUGUAAAAUCACAUGUUCAUAGGAAAGAUAUCAGAAGCUAUCACCUCUGAAUGAACCUUUAUUGUAGAAAAGGAAGUUCUCAAAUCAUCAGGACUUGCCAAUGAGGUGGCAGUCUGAAUUUGGCCUGCAGACCAUAGUUGCUGAGCCCUGAUCUAAACUAUAAAAAGAAAACUACACAUCAACAAAAAUUAGAAAAUGGUCCAAAGACUUGGGCAUCCACUUCACAAAAGAGGAUAUCCAGAUGGCCAGCCAACAUGGAAAGGUAUGUUCAUUUUACUAGUAAUCAGGAAAACGCACAUUUUAAAAGUACCGUGUGGUACUGAUCCACCCCCUGAAAUGGUUAGAAUCAAAGGCAUGAGAGAGCGUCAUGUUUUGGCAGGAAUGUAGGCAACAGGCAGCCUGUGCUGCUGCUGGCGUUGCCCGUUGAUAGAACUGCUUUGGAGGCCGGCACUGCCAGCCGAACAUGUGUAUGGUCUUUACCCCCAUUCUAGCAGAAAUGCUUGUACAUGUCCUUCAGAGGACAUGUUCUGGAAUAUUCACGGUGUAAAAUUCAAAAGCCAGAGCUGUCUGAAGGCAUAUGAGCAGUAGGGUGAGUGGCCCUAAGUGGUAUGUUUCCGCUCAGAGUGCUGUAAAGCAGAGAAUGAACAGCACGGCUCAGUUUCACAAACAAGGUCAAAUGACAGACUCCAGACACCAAAGCGACCACCGUGUGUGAUUCUGUGUACAGUGUAGGAACAGGCAAAAUGUGCAGUUAGAAAUCAGGAGGGGCGAGCCUGGGCUGAGGCUGAAGGGGGCCCGCUGGUGCUGGUAACAUUGUUUUGAAACGUGGAUGCUGAAUAUCCAGGGUUCUGGGCACUGGGGAUACCUGUGUUCCUGCAUGUCUAUUGCAUUUCCACAAAAAGUUUUAGAGUCACAGGUGUCUACCAUUUUUGUUGCUCAGCACUUUUGCCGUAUUUUUCUAGAUGGUAAUGAAUAUGCUGCAGAACGAAUUCAGUGGUAGAUUUUGCAUAAUUCCAUGCAGAAAGUACUUUUCAUAGUAGUUUUAAUGUCAACUGCUAAGAUUUCCUACACUGUGACCAUAAAACUUAAUUACUAUAAUAUGUAUUUUAAAGAACCAUUGUCGUCCUAUCCUUUGCAUAUAUAAAUGGGUCUGAGCUGCCUCUUCAAUAAAGAACUAAUGUGUGUAAACAUU